RNAcentral lists this ribosomal RNA (253 nucleotides) under uncultured bacterium. RNAcentral describes it as "partial 16S ribosomal RNA". It matches the Rfam family "Bacterial small subunit ribosomal RNA", at positions 524 to 776 of the family's 1533-position model. The record is from RNAcentral.
UACGUAGGUGGCGAGCGUUGUCCGGAUUUACUGGGCGUAAAGAGCGCGCAGGCGGUCGUUCAAGUCGCGUGUGAAAGCCUCCGGCUCAACUGGGGAGGGUCACGCGAUACUGAUCGACUCGAAGGCAGGAGAGGGAAGUGGAAUUCCCGGUGUAGUGGUGAAAUGCGUAGAUAUCGGGAGGAACACCAGUGGCGAAGGCGACUUCCUGGCCUGUUCUUGACGCUGAGGCGCGAAAGCCAGGGGAGCAAACGGG